RNAcentral lists this long non-coding RNA (447 nucleotides) under Fukomys damarensis (Damara mole-rat). RNAcentral describes it as "lncRNA (ENSFDAG00000032616.1)". Lineage: Eukaryota; Metazoa; Chordata; Mammalia; Rodentia; Bathyergidae. The record is from RNAcentral.
CACGCUUCCCCUCAGGCUGAUCCAGAAAAAUCCAACUCCAUAAACUCGGCUCAGACUCUUCCUUGGAGUUACUCCAGGAGGUCUUGCUCAGAACCCCAAAUUCAGGGUUCAGAGAAAGAGGUGUCUCAGUCCCUGGACUCAAGCUACUGGACCAUAAAAGCUUAAGGCGUGAGCAUCUUCUGUGUACACGGAACUGUGCUUCCUUUUCUCCCCGGCUCUCAGGGGCAGUGUGUGGGCAGGAUCACGUGAGUCAGUGUUACCUGCUGCUCAGCUCCAUCCACUCCAGCUCAUUUGCUGGCCACCAACCAAACCAGAGGAGGCCACUCGUGUUGCUGAGAAUAAAAAAAGUCAAAUCCCCAGAGAUGGGGGAGUCUGAUGUGCCUCAGGUACCAUUUCAAGAUGUAUAGAAGUGUAAGGUUUUAUUUUUUACAGCAAGAAACAAACAAC